GGCGAACGCUGGCGGCGUGCCUAAUACAUGCAAGUCGAGCGGACCGGAUUGGGGCUUGCCUUGAUUCGGUCAGCGGCGGACGGGUGAGUAACACGUGGGCAACCUGCCCGCAAGACCGGGAUAACUCCGGGAAACCGGAGCUAAUACCGGAUAACACCGAAGACCGCAUGGUCUUCGGUUGAAAGGCGGCCUUUGGGCUGUCACUUGCGGAUGGGCCCGCGGCGCAUUAGCUAGUUGGUGAGGUAACGGCUCACCAAGGCGACGAUGCGUAGCCGGCCUGGGAGGGUGACCGGCCACACUGGGACUGAGACACGGCCCAGACUCCUACGGGAGGCAGCAGUAGGGAAUCUUCCGCAAUGGGCGAAAGCCUGACGGAGCGACGCCGCGUGAGCGAAGAAGGCCUUCGGGUCGUAAAGCUCUGUUGUGAGGGACGAAGGAGCGUCGUUCGAAGAGGGCGGCGCGGUGACGGUACCUCACGAGAAAGCCCCGGCUAACUACGUG
Molecule: ribosomal RNA, 501 nt
Filed under: uncultured bacterium
Lineage: Bacteria
Description: partial 16S ribosomal RNA
Rfam family: Bacterial small subunit ribosomal RNA
Source: RNAcentral